ACAAAACUCACAUUCACACUCAGGCUCAGGCGCAGAGGCUAAAAGCAAAAUAGCGAUGCAAUCUAUGCCCAUGGACUCUAACCCACGUCCUCGCCCUGAACCACCCCACCACCUCUCCCUUAGCCCCACUCCUUCUGCCUCCAAACUCCCCGUCAAACGCAAAACCCCUCACCUCAACUCCUCCUCAGCCCAACCUAUUUCCAACGCUGCUCUCGAUUUCGACUCCAAACCUCCGCCCUUUAAGUUCCACCGGAUCUGGACCGAACCCGACGAGAUCCGUUUUCUCCAGGGCCUCCUCGAUUCCUCUUCCCAUGGCCUUUCUUUCCCUCGUGACUUGCCCAUUUUUUAUGACAAUUUCUCAAAUACUAUGUCUCAGCCCUACUCCAGAUCCCAGCUCUCCGAGAAGCUCCGCAGAUUGCGCAAGAAGUUUCGGGUCAUCUCUUCUCGUCUUGCCCGCGGCCUUAGUUAUUCUCUCUUGUCCCCCCACGAUUGCGCCCUUUUCAAUCUCUUGAAGAGGCUCUGGAGCCCUGAAUUCUCAUCUAUUUCGCCUUUCGGCCGUAGCGAAGUCAAUUCUUUUAGUAAUUUGGAUGUGGGCACUAAUGCGAAUUUGGUAGGAGUGAAGGUUAGUUUCUCGCCGGUUUUGCCUGUGGUUUUCUCCGAUGAUGAUAAUGACAUGAAUGAUUUAGGGUCGUUGGAUUUGGAUGAUUUUGAUCAUGGGAAUGUCCCGAAUACGAGUGAAAUGAAUUUGGAUUGUGAUAUGAUUGAAGCACGAGAAGAGGAUUCUGGGGUGGCGAAGAGUGUGGUGGCUAAAAGCGUUUUGAAUGUGUUUGAUGAGUGUCUCAAAGAUGUUCAGAUGGUCCUCGCGAGAGAAAGCUUGCGAUGUUCGGAUGAUUUUAAGGAUUUUGAAAGGAGGUGGAGGAAGCAAAGGGUUGCAGAGCUGGAUGUUUUUUCUCGGCGAUUGAGGUUGGUUCUCGAGAACUCUGUUAAUAGGCAAUCUGUAUCAUAACUUGGUUAGUGUAGCAUUCGUAAUUGGCUCAUUGGCAUUGCCUUUUUGG
RNAcentral lists this unclassified non-coding RNA (1055 nucleotides) under Hevea brasiliensis (rubber tree). Lineage: Eukaryota; Viridiplantae; Streptophyta; Magnoliopsida; Malpighiales; Euphorbiaceae. The record is from RNAcentral.